Molecule: ribosomal RNA, 198 nt
Filed under: uncultured bacterium
Lineage: Bacteria
Description: partial 16S ribosomal RNA
Rfam family: Bacterial small subunit ribosomal RNA
Source: RNAcentral
ACGCUCGACACCUACGGGAUGCAGCAGUGGGGAAUAUUGCACAAUGGGGGAAACCCUGAUGCAGCAACGCCGCGUGAAGGAAGACGGUUUUCGGAUUGUAAACUUCUGUUCUUAGUGAAGAUAGUGACGGUAGCUAAGGAGCAAGCCACGGCUAACUACGUGCCAGCAGCCGCGGUAAUCUGAGCGGGCUGGCAAGGC